UUAUAUUCCCUCCAAUUAGAAAAUCCUCCAAUUAAAUAACAAAAGGAAAAACCAAAUCCUGUAAUUAGAAUGAUACAGAAUGACGCCUGUAAUUAGAAUGAUAGGAAGAAUGACGGAAAACCUGCAUAGCGUCGCUGAAAAACCUUCUCCCUGCACGGCCUUCGACUAUCCUAGGUUGUUAUCGAUCGAGUUAUAUAUAAUUUUGGGUUGAUGCUGCUCGAUUAUUAUCAGUCUUCUCUGUCAAUCUUCUCCUUCAAUCUUUGCCCUGAAAGUCUUCAAAUUCUGUUUCUUGUAGGUUUUAAGAAUUAUUGCAGAAAGCCUUCGUCUCCUUCAAUUUAUGCUCUUAAUCGGUAGAAGUUUUUGCUUACCAGAUUCCAAUUUUGAUUUUUGAUUUUUGAUAUCCAACUACUGCCUUUUGGGAUUAGAAAGUAUAGCUUUUUCUGUGUUUACUAAGUCGUUUGUGAAAUCUAGUUGUUGUUAGAAUGAUUGAAUUGAUUCCUCCUCUAUUACUCUCUUUUUUUAAAAAUUGGUUCCACUGUUUUCAAGGCUACUGUUCUUUUUGUGAUUUUUCAGAAACUUUCUAAGUGUCAGUUGAUGCAUAUUGAUGUUUUAGUUGAAUGCCACUAGUCUAAAUAUGAAUUCAACCAUGUUCAAACUUUAUAUAUAUAUAUAUAUACCCCCCCCCUCUAGCGUUAAGCGUAUUAUCUAACAGGUAUCUUGGAGGAUACCCACUUACAUAUAAGGUGUUUUCCGUCCUCUUCUUGGAGAAGUUUAUGUUGCAAUCUCACAAAGAUGAGUUGCGCAGAUAGUUUGAGCAGCUUCGUCAGGAUGGGAUAUCUAUGACAUACUUUUCUGUAUUCUCCAUACCAAAAGAGUUAGCAAAAAUCGUUACCAAUUUAUAUUCUAUGAUCAAGUUUCAACAAUGUCUCCAUACUUUUAAAUUUGUUAUAUACUGAACGUACUCUGCACAUUCACUUUGUUUCCCAGAGUUUUGGCUCUUAACAAUCUUCAGAAUUAGUGAUUUGUUCUCAUCCAGGAACUGGCAUGGGAAAAGAAUAAGGCCAACUACUAAGGUAACAUCGAAUAACAUGUAAAAAUUCAAAUAAACACUGUCUAACCCCAAAUAAAAAAUAUGAGAUCUGCCCGUUUUAUAAGGAACCAGAGGCGGAUCCAGGAUUUUGAAGGCCGGGGUGCACUUUUGCUUUCAACCAAAAUCUGCUUUGUAUACG
Molecule: long non-coding RNA, 1229 nt
Filed under: Nicotiana benthamiana
Lineage: Eukaryota; Viridiplantae; Streptophyta; Magnoliopsida; Solanales; Solanaceae
Description: long non-coding RNA (NBEN_LNC035358)
Source: RNAcentral